CCAGACCCACUUGUGCAACGCGACCCAGACCUCUCCGUCCUUAUAGCCCCUCCGGCCGCACGCAAUCUCCAGGGCCACCACGCCGAAGCUGAACAUGUCGGACUCCUUCGUGGCCUUCCCACUAAUGAAGUACUCUGGCGCCAGGUACCCGCAAGUCCCAACCACGUCUGUUGUCUGAGACCUGAACUGGGGGUCAAUGAGCUUGGCCACUCCGAAGUCGCCGAGCUUGGUUGUGAAGUUGGUGUCGAGCAGCACGUUGGCUGCCUUUAUGUCCCGGUGGAGAACCCAUUGCUCGAGCUCCUCGUGGAGGUAGUUAAGGGCGGAUGCCAGGCCAAGCGCCACGCCGUAUCGCACAGCCCACGGCAGGCUUCUCCGGGGCCCAAAGAGGUGGUGGUCGAGGCUGCCAUUGGGCAUGUACUCGUAGACGAGCAAGAACUCACCUUCCUCUUGACACCACCCAACAAACGGCACCAGGUUUCUGUGUAUUGUUCGGCUUAUGAUCUUCACCUCGUUGACAAAGACCUUCUCGGAGUGUCGGGACUCCGCAAAGAUCCUUUUGACGGCGACCAGGCGGUUCGAAUGGCUCAAGAACCCUUUAUAGACUUGGGCAGACCCGCCUCGGCCCAGCCUUCUAUCGUCUGUGAAGCCAUUGGUCGCCGCGAGUAACUCCUGAUAAGUGAACUUCGUAGGCAAUGCGCCAAUCUCUUUAUCUAUGUCGGUAAGGGCGAUAUAACCAUUCUUUUCCCUCCUCUUGACGGCCAAAAAGCAAGACCUUGCGUAGAUCACCAGUAAAAAACAUGCCGUGGGAACAACGACCAGUAUCCAUAACCGGCGAGGUUCAUCUACGUCGUCCAAAUCCGAAGUGAACUCCCAUGAAUUGACGCUGUGUCUCUCUGGAUCGCGGCCGAAAGAAGCUGAGAACCCGAUCGCUGCAAAUUCAGGAAGGACUCUUGCCAGAUCAACAAGGUAAGAAAGCGAGUGAUGGGCCUUGCCGUCGAACGACCAGAACACGCUGAGGUUCUUGCUCACAGAAUUGUAGGUCACGUUAACAUUGACCGCUUUCCCGCUGUGCGAUCCGGGAUCCCAGCGGGCAUAAAUGAGCGACGAGAGACUGUUCUGAUUGAUUCCUAUGUGAUGCACUGGAGGAUCAAACUCCCAGUUCACAUAGGUGUCGAACUCGACCAUAACGAUCUGGUUCCGAGGCCCCUCAUUAGCCGUGGUACCGUUGAACAAUCCCAGGAAUUGUCCAGGUGAGUUGGGUGGGAUCGGGAUCCCGACAGGAGCGAGGAAGAAGGCGAUGCCAUCACUGUACUGAGCAGAGCCGUCAGUCUCGAUGGUGAACGAGAAACAGGUUGAGAAGUUCGCUUGGCGCCUCGUGACAGGAUCCCCUAUGCGGACAGGCUUGGCGUACUUAAUCCGCCCAAUUUGGUAGCCAUGCUCAGGAUGGAGGCGGGUGAGAUCGACAUGUCCAUACGUGACCUCCGAAACUCCCUCGUACAAUAUGUCCCCCCUAUCCGUGUCGAAGCUGCUUAUGUUGAAGUAGAGAGGGGCAACACAGGGGAUCAAAGGACAGCAGACAAGGCAGAACAAGAACAAGCGAGCUUGCAAAGAAAGAGAACGGGGAGUCGCGCGCGGCAUACUUAAGACGGGCUUUGGUGGGAAUUGGAUCACCGAAACUGCGAGAUCUAUAGGUUACAUUAGGGAGCUUUAAAAUGAACCCGAGCGUACCUAAUGGCUUACCGGACACGGCGAGCAAUCAUAGAUCAAGCAGCUUCUAUGAUAGCUCCUUAUUUUCUGCUAAAGUCAGAUGGAAUAGGUUAUUAAACUUCUGGUGGGUACCAUUGCUAUCUUCCGAGCACGAAAUGUCAACACGGUUUUCCCUAUCGCUCCAGCUAUUGCGCAAUUGGUGGAAAAAUUUGCGAGUGUUUGGAAGAGCCUUGGACAAAGACCAUGGAGAUGGAAACUGACUGAUCGAUAGUGACUGGCUGCCGGUGAUAUGAAGCUAGAGAACGAGCCAGCUGCUUUGCUGGGGGAGCUUGUGUGGUUCACCAUUUUUACAGACAUUAUCAAACCACUCAAAGUCUCUGUCCACAAUUGUGGAGGAAAGGAGAGCAAGCUUUGGUCAAAGGAAGAGACUUAAAUGAGGGUUGAGAGUCCAUUGCUCGAAAGCCAUUGAUUAUGAUGAUGAUCGAAUUAUCUUAUUCGUCAACUAUGUGUGCCAAAUCUUUCCUACAAGUUGUAUUUGAGAACUACUUUCAUGUUAUCGAAGCACAAGAGCCAUGGUCAAGUUCAAUCAAACUCUUGUAGACCCUCAUUUCACAGCUUGUCCAGCCCAUCGAGAACAUUACAGGCCUAUUUGGUUCUUGAGAUAGUUUCAUUCGACGAAACUGUGUCGUAGGUUGUAUUUUGAAAGUUCACAUGGAUGUAGAAUCUUGUGUGAUAGGGCAAGAUAAAAUCAUUUUGCAAAAUCUUGGUCUUAAGAAUCCAAGAUAAAAAAUGUUAUGCAAUUGACAUAGCAUGUCCUUAGUGACUAACACUAAACUCCUGAUGACCCAAGUAUUAGUGGGGGCAAUUGCUGCAUACCCAAAUGCAUUAGACCCCAUGCAUGCAAUACGUCGGAUAAUUUGAGUCUCACUAGGAAUUCGUAAGAUCCGAGAAAUCUUGUUUACUGGAUCUAUAUUUUCUGGCUGCGGCCAAUAAUUUUCUGUACCAAUGGCCCCCACAUGCCCUUUUGAGUUUGCUCCCGCACUAUCAUGGUUGAGAUUUCGUGGUUUAAGCUUCACAAUGAACCUCAAAAGUUACUGUCCUUCCUUGUUCAAAGGUGCGUGAUGAAACGAAUUUAUCGCGCUUGUGAUGGGAAACGGUCAGACACUUGAAGAGUCCCAAACAAUCCAUUCCUCACGAAACAAAAUUGUAAUGAAAAAGAUCUUUGGGUGAAAACAAUUGAAAACGUCCCAUUUAUUAUUUUCACUCUUUCCACGAGGACCCGGCCAAAAUCAGAACAUGGUUUUGACAAAAAUGAAACUAUAGUUCUCGGUUAGAAAACAUGUUUUUUUUUCUUUUCUAAUCAAACACAAUAAUUACGAAUAUACAAAAGUAAAAACUAAAAUUAUUCUCAUUUUCAUAGGCAUAUUUUGAGAAAUCACGUGCGGUCUAUAUAGAAAAUUAAAGCAGUGACUGAUGUUGAAUCUGCCUUGAUCUUAGCUAUUGGGCCUUAAUGGAACUUAUUACAAAAAACCCAUUGUCCAGUUGAACCAAAGGUUAUAGAUGCUAUAACAAAACUUCGUAAGAAAAUAACUAGAGAAAUCUAUGAAGAUCGAAUUAGGUCUCAAGAAGAAAAUUGGUCUACGAACCACAAGAAAAGUGGAAAUGAAAGCAAUGUAGUUUCGAGUGAAUGGAUACUCCAAGAUAGAACAAGAAAAGUUGAAUCCGAUUAAUUCAACUUCUAUGAUUUUGGAAUAAUUAGAAAAUUACAAAAAACGAAACUAUUCAUUUUGAGCAACAAAGUUCGAUUUAAUCAAAUUUGACAACAGGUUUUCUAACAAGUCUUAUAAGGAGCUUUUGGAACUCUGAAUAGUUGGUUGAAUAACGAGUUACAUUACUUGCCCUGCCCUCGACUGUCUGGCGGGAUCUGGGUGCACGCACCAUAGCCCCACCAUCAUCAAGCACUUCAUCUCCUCCUAUGGGAACUCCGAGUGCAACACCUCGUCAACCGCGCGCCGAGGACGUUGCCAGCAAGGUAUAGUUGCCAGACCCACUCGUGCAAUGAGACCUGGAUCUCUAUUCUCAUAGCUCCUCUGGCCAUGACGCCAAAGCUAAACAUGUCGGACUCCGGGUUGGCCUUCCCUCCAAUAAAGUACUUUGGCGCUAGAUACCCACAAGUCCCAACCACGUCUGCCGUCUGAGUCCUGAACCGGGGGUCGACAAGCUUGGCCACUCCAAAGUCGGCAAGCUUGGUGCUGAAGUUGGAGUCGAGUAGUACAUGGGCUGCCUUUAUGUCCUGGUGGAGCACAUAUUGCUCGAGAUCAUCGUGGAGACAGUUGUGGGCAGAUGCGAGGCCGAGUGCCACCUUGUACCACACGUCUCAGGGCAGGCUUCUCCGGGCCCCAAAGGGGUGAUUGAGGCUGCCAUUGGGCAUAUACUCAUAGAUAGCUAAGUUCACUCCUAUGUGGAGGAAGCUCAAUGAGUUGCAAGCCCAAAAAAGGUUUGAGCUCAUAUAAUAAGUUAUAUGGAGAAAUAGGUUUCUUACUAUCAAAAAGUGGUAGCCACAAAAAGACACGGUAACAAGAAAAAAGAGAGAAAGCAGAAAAUCUGAGAGUUGAGGCAAUAUCUGAUUUACAUUAAGCUGGCAUCAGAGGUCGAUUCAUGGUCCGAUUGAGCUGAAAUUUUGUUAGCAUGUCGUGGCUCAAUCUGGAAUCUGAACGAUUUGAUUUUCAUUUGAAGCUGCCUCCAUCAGGUUUUUCAUGGAUUGAUCAAAACAUGCGUUUUUGGUCAGAUUUAUUCUUUGAUUUCUUGUGAAAUUCAUGUGUAUUGCCAAGAAUUAUGUUCUUGAGGUUUUUGCUACUAUAUGUACCUCUAGUAUUUGCUAGAGAAUAACAUUGUUCACCCAAUUUUGUUGAUAGUGAAGAUUUUCCGGUGGACCCUUUUUUUAUCUCCUCACAUCGAGGAGGUUUUUCACAUAAAAAAAUUGUCUUCUAUUCACGUGCUUGGUAUUUAUUUUACUUUACUAUAUCGAUUCUUAUUAAGUUUACACAAGAUGAGAGAUUAUUUUAUUCUGCCGCGUUAAUUCGAUAUUGUUUGAAUUGUUACCAUUCUCCGAUCAAGAACGGCACAAGGUUUCCGUGAAUCGUGCGGCUUACGAUCUUCACCUCAUUGACGAGAACCUUUGCAUUGGGAUUCCGUGAAGAUCGUUUUGACAGCAACCAAGCAGCCUGAAUGGCUCAAGAACCCUUUAUAGAUUUGGCCAGACUCACCUCGGCCAAGCCUUCGAAUGCACCGAUAAAUUGUUUUUUGGGGGGGGGCGACAAAAAUUUUUAUUCAAAAUUUCUUCACCCCAAAAAAAACACGCCCCCGGGGGCCCCCCCCAAAAAAAAGUGGGGGGGGACCCCCCCCCCUUAAUUUUAAGGGGGGGGAUGGGUGGGCCCCCCCCCCCCCCCCCCCCCCCCCCCCCCCGCAACAACCUUCGGCGCCGAUUUAUCCAUCGAUGGUGGCAGAUCUACCACGUCCAAAUCUGAAGUGAAUUUCCAUGAAUUGAUUCUGUGUCUCUCCACAUAGAAGCCGAAUGAAGCUGAAAACCCGAUCGCAACUGAUUCGGGAAGGACACUCGCAAGAUCAAUUUAGCAAGAAAGUGAGGAAUGGCCCUUAUCCUGGAAAGCCCGUUUGUCCUCAAAUGACCAGGACACUCUGAGGUUCUUGCUCGUGGAAUUGUAGACCACCAGAACAUCGGUCGCCGCUGUGCAGGCUGGGAUCCCAGCCAGUAUAAACAACCGAUGAGAGCCCGUUCUUAUUGAUUCCAAUGUGAUGCACUGGGGGAUCGAACUCUGGGUUCACGUAAGUGUUGAACUCGACCAUGACAAUCCGGUUUCGAGGCCCUUCACUGGCCAUGCUUGCAUUGAAUAAUCCCAGGAAUCCACCACCCGAGUUGGGCAGGAUCGGCAUGCCGGCGGGAGCAAGGAAAAAGGCGAUGCCAUCAUCAUACAGCCCAGAGCUGUCGUUGUCAAUAGCGAACGGAAAACGGGUCGUCGUUGUCAAUAGUGAACAAAAAACGGAUCGAGAAGUCCGCUUGCCACCCCGUGAGAGGAUCCCAUACGGGGACAGGCUUGGCAUGCUGGAUCCGGCCCACCUGGAAAUUUGGUGGAGUAUUGCAUUUGGUGAGAUCGACAUACCCUGCUCGGCAUACUAGAGACGGGCUUUGGUCAGAAUCGGAUCAACUGAACCGCAAGAUCGCUACAUCACAUUUGAGUGCUCUACAAGGAUGGUGAGUAUACCUGGCGGACCUAAUACGACGAGCGUUCAUAGAUCAAGCAACUUCGAUGAUGGUUCGUUGUUUUCUAAAAAAGUAAAUGGAGCAAAUUCGUCACGAUGAGAAUCAGUCUUGAGGUGGGUAUCAUUGCUAUCUUCCAAAUAAGUGAUGGAGCAUUGUCAAACUUGGGGUAGGCGUCACUUGGGCGUGUCCCAUUACUGGACCAUCCACGACCCAGAGGCUUGACUCUUGAGCUAAUUUCUUGUACCAUCACUUGCGCGUCCUAUUGAGAGCUGUACUAUCCAAUUUAAGACGGUAUGACUAGAAUCUAUUGCCGCUGAUAUUUGUCAACUGGGGAAAAUUUGCAGGUGUUCUAGAGAGCCGCGGAUGAAGACCGUGGAGAUGGAAACUGACCGAUUGAUCUCCCGAGUUGACUGGCUUUCGAUAAUACAACGGGAGCGAGCGAGCGACCGCGGAUCGGUGUUUUUGCAUUCGCCAGGAGAGCUUCUGCGGUUCACCUCUUUAACAGAAAUUAUCAGACCGGUCGACGUGUCUGUCUACAAGUGUGUAGGAAAGGAGCGCAUGCUAUUGUUAGAUGAGCUGCGAUUUGCAGGGACGUGAAGAGCGGUUGAUAGUCCAUUGCUUCGAAGCCACUGAUUAUGACGAACACUACGAACCCAAAAAACAAAAAGAAGAGCCGAAGAUAGUUUUCUAGCUGCAUCAUCAUUAUGCCACGUCACUGUGCACGUCGUCAAUGCCAUGUCAUCAUGCCACGUCAUUAAUACCAUGUCGUCAUGUGUGCCAUGCCAUCGCCAUGUCAUCGAAAUAUGCCAUGUCAUUGCUUGCAUGUCAUUGAUUGAUUGUAUGUUAGGUUCAUAAAAUUGUAUGCCAUGCUAGAAUAGUGCCAUAAAAUUGAUUACCGCAAGCCACAUUGGAAUAGACAUACUUAGUACGUCGUCGUGUUUAGAGUACUUGCAUUACAUAUAUUACAUACAUUACAUUUUAGCGUUAGCUUUCACUAGAUAAGAGAAAACCUUAAAAAGGAUUUGAGUAGAAUUGUCUGUUAAUUAGAAAUCAUAUUUAUGUUGUUAAGAAUGUAAUUAUCUAAUAAAAUUUACAGUUGCUUACGUUACUUCAAGGUAAGUAAAUCUAUUCCUUACCCUUGCAAUCUAUUCAUCACUUUAAGUAUAUAAUGUUUCAUUAAUGGUCGUGUCACGCCCCGAUCUUCAAACGCGCACAUCUUUCUACUUGGUCAAUUUAUGAAUGCGAUAUCCCAAGACUAUGUAUCGCCGACCCUUUGCUUUUAUUAAGUACAUGCGGAAGCAAUUAUAAAUCCUCAGACAAUAAAACAAUGGGAUAAGAAAGCAAGCCAUAUUUUUCAUAUUGAAAUUCACAACCACACUUUUAUUAACAACACAACUCAUAGUACAUUUACAAUACUAUUCAUAUGUAACAUCCCGAUUUUCCAAGUCUAUUUUCAAUAAAUUGAGACGGGCAUUUCGUUGGCACGUAUAUAGUUCUUUUCCUUGAGUCGGCCACUCAUGUGAAAGCUAGUCUAUCGGGUGAAGCUGUUAAGAGUUUAUAAUGCAUCAGACUCGAGAAUUUGAUCAGGAAACGACCUUUCGACCGAGCUAAUCUGCAAGGGUCAUUACGGCACAAUUAAAGAUCGAUUAGAGAUCGGAGAUAGGACGACUCGACAGAGGCAUGUGAUCAGGUGUGGGUGAUUCCACUAGAUCACACAAUUCUUGUUGAUCGGCACUGGACCGACUUUUCUAUCGAUUGGGUACCCUGUGUUCGUAUUUGAAACCUUGAGAUUACCCCGACAACCGAAAGUCGCCAAUGUUUCAAAGAUGUACAUUGUGGCUUGAGAUGAUCAACCACAGGUCAAAUGCAUGAAAGUUUCUAAAGGCUACCCGGUAGGUUGGGCUGCGCUAGUAUUGUGCCAAAGUGAAAUUAACCGUGGAAUUGAGAUCGAAUUCAGAAAUUGGAGGUCUGGGUAUGUCACAAAUCAUUUUAGGAACAUUGACUAAUCUUUGGAAAGAUUUUUCAUGCAAACCGAGUUUUUCAGCAAAAUAAUCAGAGAAUGGCUAAUUUGGCUCGAGAAAUUAGUAGGCGCAUCUUUGGUAACGUUUUUGGGACUUAGGUUGGUUCUAUGGACAAGUGAAGAUGUGAAUUAAAGUGNNNNNNNNNNNNNNNNNNNNNNNNNNNNNNNNNNNNNNNNNNNNNNNNNNNNNNNNNNNNNNNNNNNNNNNNNNNNNNNNNNNNNNNNNNNNNNNNNNNNNNNNNNNNNNNNNNNNNNNNNNNNNNNNNNNNNNNNNNNNNNNNNNNNNNNNNNNNNNNNNNNNNNNNNNNNNNNNNNNNNNNNNNNNNNNNNNNNNNNNNNNNNNNNNNNNNNNNNNNNNNNNNNNNNNNNNNNNNNNNNNNNNNNNNNNNNNNNNNNNNNNNNNNNNNNNNNNNNNNNNNNNNNNNNNNNNNNNNNNNNNNNNNNNNNNNNNNNNNNNNNNNNNNNNNNNNGAAGCCGCCGGACCUCACGCCCUUGCCCGUCAGCUGUCGUCGCCGCCGCCUGUGCCGCCCGCGCUCGUUUACCGGUCAGCUCCCCUCCCCGUUCCGCCUCAGCCCGCGUCCCCAGCAGAUUUGAGAACCCCGAACCAGCAAGCCGAAGACCAGUUGAAGCCAGCAGCUCCACUCGUCGCCGGAGCUCACCGCCGCCGCCGUCGUCCGUGCGCAAAGCUCGCGCGCCCGCGUGUCACCUCGCUGGACAGCCGUCGCGCGCUGCUCCGCCCUGCUCGCCCGGUCCCGAGCUCCUUCCCCUCCGUCUAGCCGUCGUCGCCGUCGCUAGGGUCGCCGUCAGCCUCGUCGGAGCUUCGCCCGAGCUGCCGCCCCUCUUCUCCGCCGUUCCUCCGCCCAUCUCGGCGCCGGAUCUGCUCCCUCUCGGCCCCAAGCAGAAUCUGGAAAAAUGGGUAUGGCAGCGGGUGUUUGGCCCGUUUUGGCCGUCUUCCCGAGCCCGGAUGCUCGGCCCGCUUUGAGGAAAGUUGAUCCUCGCGUCGUCCCCGUCGUUUUGGUCUGCUCGGCUCGCUAAUCCGGUGAGUUUAACUCACUAAAUCUUGAUUAGACGGUUAAUUAUGCCCUAAGUGUGCUUAGUCUAAGUUAAGCAAGUUUAUGUGGAUAUUUGAGUUUAUUUAAUUGUGAUUUGGGUUAAAAGGUUUGGUUUAAUUUAAAGGGUAUUUAAUUAAAGGUUAAGAUAGUUUAUUUAAUAAUAAACCUUGAUGGGACAUAAUAGGGUUUUAAUUUUGAAUUAUUUAAUUGCUUCGAAAUUCUGGAAAUUUAUAAUAUUAUAUUAAUUCCGAAAUUAUUAAAAUAUUAUUAUAAAAAAAAAGGAAAAUUUAUUUUUGAUCCCGGUUGUUCAGAAUUUCGUGCCGGUCGUUGCUGUGUAGUCGGAUUUUGAAAUUGAUGAUUGGAUAUUAUAAAUUGAGCGUGGAUCUUGAAAAAUAUGAAUAUUAUUAUUUAAUUAUUUUCGGAAUAAAUUUAAUUAUUUAAUAAAUUCCGAAAAUUUUGUCAAGACCCUAAACUCUCAGAAUUUCGUGCCGAUUGCUGCUGUGCAUUUAGAAUUUGAUAUUGAUGAUUGGUUGUGAUGAAUUGAGUGUGAUUGCGAUUUAUAGGGAUUCUUUAUGAAAUCCUAAGUGUAGAAAUUGAUGGGAGAUUGGCUGUGAUUGACCACCUAUUAGAGGUCGUGCCCAGUGAGGCCGUGAAAUACCACCUAGGAAAGAUCGUGCCCGAUGAGGCCGUGAAAUACCACCUAGGAAAGGUCGUGCCCGAUGAGGCCGUGAAAUACCACCUAGGAAAGGUCGUGCCCGAUGAGGCCGUGAAAAACCACCUACGAGAAGUUGUGCCCGAUGAGGCCGUGAAAUACCACCUACAAGAGAUCGUGCCCGAUGAGGCCGUGAAAUACCACCUACAAGAGGUUGUGCCCGAUGAGGCCGUGAAAUACCACCUAUUAGAGGUCGUGCCCAGUGAGGCCGUGAUAAACCACCUAUGAGAGGUCGUGCCCAGUGAGGUCGUGAUAAACCACCUAUGAGAGGUCGUGCCCGAUGAGGCCGUGAUAAACCACCUAUGAGAGGUCGUGCCCGAUGAGGCCGUGAUAUGCCACCUAUUAAAGGUCGCGCCCAGUGGGGCCGUGAAUUGCCACCUGUUAAAGGUCGUGCCGAGUGGGGCCGUGAUGCCAUUGAUUUAAAUUUGCCGAGUAGGGCCGUAGUUGAGAGCAAUGAUUGAUUUGCUAGAAUGACAUGUAAUCGGCCGAGUCGAUUGAUCGCUGAGACGAUCCAAGUGGUUGAAUGGUUUGAUAAUGUGAUUGUGCCAUGGUUGUUUGGUUAUCAUAAUUGCAUGUGGUUGGUUCACAUAAAUUGUGCUAACCUGCAGAUAAAGGCUGAGGCGAGGUAAGUCCUCUGUGUGAUGUGGCUAGGCCACCCGGGGCGUAUUUUCUUUCUAAUAGGGGUUUAGGGGGUUGAACUUGCUGAGACAUCGUCUCAUCCCAGUUGUGGGAUUAAAAUUUUAGGUCCCUGGUGGACGGAGCAACCAGAUAGCUUUGGUUGGCCUUGAGGAGUUGCAGAGGUGAAGUCAUAAGGAUUGGAGAGCAUGCCCGACUUGUAGGUCGUAGGACAAUUCCUUUUUAAGGGCCGGUCUUUUGUAGACUGUUGGCCGUAGACCUCUGUUUGUAAUUCUGUUGAAUUAUGGAAGUGUUAUGUUGUGAUUUGGUUUCCUGCCUUUCUAUCCCGUAUUUUAUUGUCAGGGGUUUUAUAAUACGUUCCGCUUGCGCAAUAAAGAAAUGAAUGGGGUCGGCGACACUACCUGGGAAGGUCGCUUUUGAUCGACCGCAGUGGGAUGUGCUCGCGCUCGGGGUUCGGGGCGUGACGUCAUAGCUUACUUGUCUCACACCUAUCUAUACUAAGACAGGGUUCACAAAAGGGAUGGGAUCUCAAUCCACAUUCGGGUUAUACUCAAGAUCCCUAUCUGGAUCAUCUGCUCCUUCAAAAGUCUUUCUCCCCUUCAGGUUCCUCCUCCUCAGUUUCUCCUCAGGGUCCUGAAAUGGUUAUUCAAUAACCAAUGAGACCACGUCUCAGCGAAUUCUACUCCCUAAUACCCGAUUAGUAAACUAAUACACCUUAGGCUGCCUAAGCACAUCACAAGUCAGAGGACUUACCUUGGCCUCAGCUCCUUCCUACAAGUUAGUAUAUAUAUCAAAUAUACGUCAUCACAUCACAUCACCCAAUCAGAUCGAAUCGUCGAUCAAUCGAUCUAGUCGAUUAUAUGUCAUCCAAAUUAUCGCUUGAUCGACCCCUUCCAUACUUUCUAUAAGUCUGAUUAACACCCACGACUACUCACCCUAGGUGAUAUAUAGAUAGUAUGUUAUCUUAUCUCCAGACGACAUAUAGAGUCAUCGAGCUAUCAAAUCAUACCGUACUGUCUCAAGAUGAUCUGUAGGAUUAUCGAGCCGGUAAAUCAUACCGUACUGUCUCAAAAUGCUCCGUGGAGUCAUCGAGCCGGUAUACACACAAUUUAUCAUACCGUACCGUCUCCAGAUGCUCCGUAGAGUCAUCGAGCCGGUAGAUCAUACCGUCCUGUCUCAAGAUGCUCCGUGGAGUCAUCGAGCCGGUAUACACACAAUUUAUCAUACCGUACUGUCUCCAGAUGCUCCGUAGAGUCAUCGAGCCGGUAGAUCAUACCGUCCUGUCUCAAGAUGCUCCGUGGAGUCAUCGAGCCGAUAUACAUGUCAUUCCAAGCAAACAAUCAAAUAACCAGUUUUAUCAUUCCCGAUAAAAUGCCAUGAGUGGGUACUCGAUCGGCCCUAAUCAAAAUAUAAUAGUUUCCUUUUUAUAAAUUCCACAAUUUUCUGUAGUCCACUCAGAUCCUUUUGGCAUUAUCAACCGAUGCCUAGUUCUUUUUCAAUUAAUAAUCAAAGAUUAUUCAAUUAAAAAAUAAUUCCUUCUUUCACAAAUAAUUCAAUUCAGCAUGAAAUAGGGCUCAAUUAAAUAAACGGACUGCACACGACAAUCAGCAUAAAAUUCCGGUCACCAGCCAUCCCGGUUGAAUUUCCGGAAAAAUAAAUAAAUAAUUAAUUAAUUUCGAAAAAUAAAAUAGAUAAAUACUAAAAAUCCAAUUUAGGCCCGUAAUACCUGAUUGGAUGCCAAAACGGAUCGGGAAAAAUCCCGAGAUACGUUCAAUAAAUAAUAGAAACUCUCUACUUGCUAAUGACUAAGUCUAACCACCUAACAUGCAUCAUUAAGCCACUAAUUUAAUUGUUCUAGACUAAUCUAACCACCUAAUUGCAUUUAAUUAAAUCUAACCAACCCCUAAGCAUAAUUAGCAAACUAAGAAAGCAUUAGUGAGUAAAAUUCACUUGAGCAAAGCAAAUAUCGGAACACUGCGACGGCGGCCGAAAUCCGAACUUUCGGCGGCGUCAACGGACACUCGGGCCGGGCCCAAAGAUCUUGCCUCGUGGGCUUGGGCUUCAAAAGGACUUGCUGGACUUCACUGGACUGGGCUUGAAUCAAGACUGAACAUGGGCUUCAAAUGGACUGAAGCUUGCUGUGAAUGGGCUUGAACCAGAAAAGAAUCUGCUGGGCCGAAGACUGCUGAAAUCAUGGGCUUCCAAUGGGCUUGCGGCUGAACUCACGAAGGAGCUGGGCAGAGUCUCACAUGGGCCGCAGACUGACUGGAUUCACGGGCCUGCUUCGUGGACUGGAGUUGCCGUGGCUUCAAUUGCAGGGCCGAUCCACGAGCUGGCGAAGAAAGAGACGAAGACGCUGAAGCUGCAGGCGUUGGAUUUGCUGGCAUCGAGCUGCGGACGACGCCGGAUUUGCUCGAGCUGUUUGGGGACGUCUCGUAGAAGCGAGAAGUGGGUUGGCGUGUGUUGUUACGGAAGAUGGGAGCACGCGGACAAAUGGCCGAAGCUGCUGGAGUUGGCCAAGGUUUCGUGGAUGCUGCUCAGUCAAACAUCAAAGCCAGCGAGAGUGUUUUGACCGAGGGAGACCAACGUUAGUGGAGAUGGGCGUUGGUAGCUUCGGUCUUCGUGGGGAGGAGACGCAGGCGCUGCUGUUGGAGGAGAAGACCACGUGGCUGAGAGAGGCGGAGAAGCGGACGAGGGAAGCAGCAACUGCUUCGCUUUGGUGAUGUUGAGCCCGUGAAAUUCGCUGGAUGAGGACUGCACGAAUUCGGGGGAAUCACGGUCAACAAAUCUGUAGAAGCUGAACCCGAAUCUGCUGGACUCACGGCUGAAUUCUCCAGCGUUGUUCGGUUGAGGACACGUGCAGAUGGAGGAGUUUCGGCGGAUGAAGGGCACGUGAGAAGUCAACUUCGGUGGAGGAACUUGUUGGGUUGUUGACUCGGUUUGCUGCGGCAGAAGACCAUAGAUUGUGGGAGAGCAGCUUCGGUCACCGCCUGGGAAAAUCUUGCGACCGUGCUGGCAGUCGAAGGAAAAGAAGCGGACGCGUGGGGAUUUCUUCGGUGGACUUGCUUCGUGGAAUUUUUGGGGCUGCUUCAGUCAACUAAAGCUUCAAUGGUUGACUGGAGAUGGGUGAUUUGCAGACGAGUGGCAGCUUGGCAUGGGAUGAGGCGCGCGAGUGAAGAAUUCUAGCGUGAGUGGUGUCUGCUGGAGGGGAAAAAUGGUGAAGACGGCAGCACAUGGAGGGAGAGAGAACAUGGAACGAAGGCGACGGCCACAGGGGUUGUUCGGUGGAAAUUUUUACUGGAUAAUUUAAACGAAGGAGACAACAGAAGAUGGAGGUCGGCAGCUUGGUCCGCACGAAGGAGGGGAAUAGAUAAGGAUGAGUGCCCCAAAAGUCCACAACUUGGCCUGUUUGGUUCAAUUUUGGGGAAAUGCAAAGUCAUUUCCCCAAGUAUCCUUGACUAAAUGGGCAUUCUCGGAAUGCAAACGUGUUUGGAAGUGUAUAUUUUGCAAAGUAAUUUUCAGGUGAAAAAAAAAGGAAAAAAAGAAAAGAAAAGAAAAUGGAGAAGGAGAUGGAGCUGCGUGAUCGCGGGGGAGCGGCUGGUGGCGGUGGCGCUGGUGGUGGUGGUGGUGGUGAAGCGGUGGUGGUGGCGAUGGUGGGGAGGCAGCUCGCCCGCGGUCGCCGGACCUCAGGCCACCUCGGCUGAGCCCGGCGGCCAGAUCUGGCCCUCUAGUGGCCAAGCGUCGCCCACCGCGAAGAAGAAGACGAACGACGAAGAAGAUGGGCGGGGAAGAAGACGAACGGCGAAGAAGAUGGGCGGUGAAGAAGGCGAUGAACAGUAACUCGAAAUUGCAUCUCCAGAAUGGGAAUGCUCAAACUAGCCCCAACCCAGCAUUGGGGAUGCUGACAAUGGGCAAAUGGGCAUUCAAAAACACAUGCCAAACACAAAAUAUUUUCCCCAAGGGGGAGGGGAAUAGAUAAGGAUGAGUGCCCCAAAAGUCCACAACUUAAUCUCUUCCAUUAAAACCUUGUCCCCUCUAAUUCUUUCUAGAAUAUAAUUUCACCAUUUAUUCCAAAUUAAAGCAAAAAAUGCAGCCCUUAGUCCAAUUCCGAAUUUCCUUAAUUUUUGGCUACAAUUUCUUCAUUUGAUUCUCCAAAUCAACGUCAAAUUUUGCUGAAGAAAAAUCCCGAAUAAUUUUCUAUAAGUCCUUGACACUCAAAGGCUUGGCUUGGAAGUCCAAAUUUCCUUUAAUUGAGUCCAUUCGAAUUUCCGUUAAUUUCCGCGACGUCUGAAUCGAUUUUUCGAAAAAAUCCCAGAAUCUCCGAAAAAUCUUCUAAGACCAAGUCAACGUUCCUAAAAUAGCUCGUGACACCACAGAACUUUCAAUUUCUGAAAUUUGGUUCGAAUUCACGAUUAAUUUCCAUUCGACGCGUUUUUAGUGUGACCUAGACUACCGAGUAACUUUCAGAACUUUUCAGUGCAAAUGACCCGUGGUCGAUUUUCUUCGAGCCACUAUGAACCCACUCGACUCAUUGGCGACUUUCGAUUGUCGUGAAAAUCUCGAGAAUUCAAGUACGGACACAGGGUACCAAAACGAUAAGAAAAUCAGUCUAGUGUUGGUCGACGAGAAUUUUCCAAUUUAGUGGUGUCACCCACGAUUAGCCACACAUCUCAAUUGAACCAACCUGUAUCUGAUCUCAAAUCGAUUUAUAUCUGUACCAUAAUGGUCUCGACAGAUGAGCACGGUCAAGAAGUCGAUUCACGGUCGAAUUCUCAAGUCUAUUUGCCUUAAAAUUCUUAAUGACUUCUCCAAAUAGUCUAGUUAUCUUGAGAGUGAUCAGCUCUAAGAACAACUCUAUAGACGCAUCAAUGAAAUGCCCGAUUUAUUCAAUAGAAAACAAGACUGAAAAUGUAGGAUGUCACAGGUCGUGCACGUGCAUGAUUACCUCGCAUCUUAGUGAAGAGGUUUAAAUUCAAUCCAAGUCCCCUGCCAAAUAUUUUUUGAACAAAAGAGGAAGUUAUCAAAAGGGUAUUGGAGUAUUCAAGCAUAAUCACGUCCCCGAAUCCAUAAUCUAUGGUUCGCAGGGAUAAAGUAUAUCUCCCAAUGCUUUACCUAGGUGUCUACUCAACCCACCAAAAACUAAUUAAUAGUGAUUUCUAAAUAAAAAUCAUUGGCAUAUUAAGAACUUAAAUCUAAGUCUCGAAUCGAUAGGGGCUUGGGAAAGCUCGAGCUAAGUUAAGCUUGUAAAUUCAUAAGCUCAACCCUAGGUGGUUCACUCCGAGGUAGGUCGCGACACACUUUAGUUCCAAAUUUGCUUAUGCAACCCUCCAUCCAAAAAUUCCACUGAUUUCUUUAAAAUUAUCAACAAGAGGAGGUUAAUGUUGUUCCAUACAAAAGUAAGGGUACUAAAGAAAUGUAGGUUCUAAUAAUGACCCUCUAAGCAAUCUUGAUUUGAUGAUUUUGAAGAAACUAAUAGCAAUUUUUGGACGUGCGGAUAGAUGUGGAACUAGCGUGAAAGGUGAUGGUUGUUUUAAUAUAAAAACUAGUUCAGGGCAAAAUUAAGAUUACUCUAAAAUUGGGAGUUUUUUUUUUUUUAAUUUUUAAAUUUAGGGAAUUGGGCUUAUUUGAAAAUGGCAUUUGGAUGGAUAUAAUUGUAAAAUCAAAAUCAUAACAAUCCAUUAUUUUGAAUUAGACCUUUCUGCUUUUCAUCAUACAAUUAUAACCUUAUGCAUCUCCAGGUUCAGAUUAUCAAAGAGAAAAUCGGCCUCAACUAAAUUCAUCAUGUCUUUCUAUAAUUUUUGCAUGUCCUAUUUAAGUGACACGUUGAGUUGAUUUCAUAUGACAUACGUUUAAGUCACGUAAAGAACCUGUCUAGAGUGAUUUUUAUGCUAACUUUUGACUUUGUACUCCAUAUAAAUUUCUGAAACUCACAUGAAAUGAUUGGAAACUUUUCAAAAUAGUUACAUAUCGAUAUUGAUACUUCUACCUUUUCUUGUUAUCUUUGAAAUAUUAGUGCAAAAUCUAUCCGGAAAUGUACGAAUUCCAUUCUACCCUUUCUUGUUAUCUUUGAAUAUUCGUGCAAAAUGUAUCCGGAGAUGGACGAAUUUCAAAUGCUUUUAUCAUAUUUUCUACUUGAGUUCAAGUGAAUUCAGUGCUUCCAGCUUUUAGAUUACGAGAGCUCAGGAAUGUUUUAUUUUCCCUGGAAAAAGAUGCCAUGGACGAUUUCGAAGAUAUUGGCCAUGGCAGCAGUGCCAGAGCAACGAUGGACGAGUUACCUUGUUGGGGACAUCGAUUCUUCGACUUAACCCCAAAAAGGAGCCUACGUUCCUGCGAAGCAGCCUCGCUACAACCCAGACGAGACGUCGAUGUUCCUUGUUGCCCUCGCGAUCUUGAGUCAGGCUUUCGGCAUCCGCUUAUACACCAACUCGACCUAAAUGAAAGUCCUGCUCACUGUGGUGAAUUAGUAGUGUCCAGUGUACUCUUGCAUGCAGCUUUCCGUCUCAUUGAAAUGAGAACCUCCAACUUUUUCAUCUGUAUUCUCUCCGACGUGAUGAACGCACUCGCUUCUUUAUAUCGGUAAUUUGAAGAGAGAUACAAGUAAUUUAACUGAAAAUUUUCUUUUCGUAGUGUUCUGUUUAUGCCGAUGUAAGCAAUGUAUGUUAAGCGAUACCAAGUCCCCCAUGAUGUUCUCAAUUGCAAACAACAAAUUUGGGCAAGGCAAACGAGAUGGUAACCGAACUACAGUUGAUGCAGCAGAAUGUGCAGAUUUUAGUCAGCAAGUGUUGCCGUAUGACUUUAGGAGACAGGAUUUGUCUAGCUUCCUAAACACAGAUUCUUGAAUAGGAGGAGCAGAUGGAGAUUCCAGUAUUCCUAAUUGCGAAGCCGAUGGCCGGUGUGAAACUGGACCGUUGAACGCGUCGUGCGGCAGCUCGGGGACUGAGUCCUCCAGCUGGAGGAACCUGAUCACUUGCCCCGCCUUUGGCCUUCUCGCGGGGUCGGGGUGCACGCACCACAGCCCCACCAUCAUCAGGCACUCCAUUUCAUCCCUCCGGAACCCUGAGCCCAAGGCCUCAUCAGCAGCGCCGAGGAUGUUGCUGGCGCGGUAGAGUUCCCAGACCCACUUGUGCAACGCGACCCAGACCCCUCCGUCCUCAUAGCUCCUCCGGCCGCACGCAAUCUCCAGGGCCACCACGCCGAAGCUGAACAUGUCGGACUCCUUCGUGGCCUUCCCACUAAUGAAGUACUCUGGCGCCAGGUACCCGCAAGUCCCAACCACGUCUGUUGUCUGAGACCUGAACCUGGGGUCAAUGAGCUUGGCCACUCCGAAGUCGCCGAGCUUGGUUGUGAAGUUGGUGUCGAGCAGCACGUUGGCUGCCUUUAUGUCCCGGUGGAGAACCCAUUGCUCGAGCUCCUCGUGGAGGUAGUUAAGGGCGGAUGCCAGGCCAAGCGCCACGCCGUAUCGCACAGCCCACGGCAGGCUUCUCCGGGGCCCAAAGAGGUGGUGGUCGAGGCUGCCAUUGGGCAUGUACUCGUAGACGAGCAAGAACUCACCUUCCUCUUGACACCACCCAACAAACGGCACCAGGUUUCUGUGUAUUGUUCGGCUUAUGAUCUUCACCUCGUUGACAAAGACCUUCUCGGAGUGUCGGGACUCCGCAAAGAUCCUUUUGACGGCGACCAGGCGGUUCGAAUGGCUCAAGAACCCUUUAUAGACUUGGGCAGACCCGCCUCGGCCCAGCCUUCUAUCGUCUGCGAAGCCAUUGGUCGCCGCGAGCAACUCCUGAUAAGUGAACUUCGUAGGCAAUGCGCCAAUCUCUUUAUCUAUGUCGGUAAGGGCGCUAUAACCAUGCUUUUCCCUCCUCUUGACGGCUAAAAAGCAAGAACUUGCGGAGAUCACCAGUAAAAAACAUGUCGUGGGAACAACGACCAGUAUCCAUAACCGGCGAGGUUCAUCUACGUCGUCCAAAUCCGAAGUGAACUCCCAUGAAUUGACGCUGUGUCUCUCUGGAUGUUCGCCGAUAGAAGCUGAGAACCCGAUCACUGCAGAUUCAGGAAGGACUCUUGCCAGAUCAACAAGGCAAGAAAGCGAGUGAUUGGCCUUAUAGUGGGAAGGCGGUUUGCCGUCGAACGACCAGAACACGCUGAGGUUCUUGCUCGCAGAAUUGUAGGUCACGUUAACAUUGACCGCUUUCCCGCUUUGCGAUACUGGAUCCCAGGGGGCAAGAACGACCGACGACAGCGAGUUCUGAUUGAUUCCUAUGUGAUACCAAUGGGGAUCAAACUCCCAGUUCAUAUAGGUGUCGAACUCGACCAUGACAAUCCGGUUCUGAGGCCCUUCAUUAAACGUGCUCGCGUUGAACAAUCCCAGGAAUCCGCCAGCCGAGUUGGGCGGGAUCGGGAUCCCCACGGGAGCGAGGAAGAAGGUGAUGCCAUCACUGUGCUGAGCAGAGCCGUCAGUCUCGAUGGUGAACGAGAAACGGGUUGAGAAGUUCGCUUGGCGCCCCGUGACACGAUCCCAUAUGCGGACAGGCUUGGCGUACUUAAUCCGCCCCACCUGGUAGCGAUGCGCAGGAUGGAGGCGGGUGAGAUCGACAUGUCCAUACGUGACCUCCGAAACUCCCUCGUGCAAUAUGUCCCUACUAUCCGUGUCGAAGCUGCUUAUGUUGAAGUAGAGAGGGGCAACACGGGAUCGAAGGACAGCAGACAAGGCAGAACAAGAACAAGCGAGCUUGCAAAGAAAGAGAACGGGGAGUCGCGCGCGGCAUACUUAAGACGGGCUUUGGUGGGAAUUGGAUCACCGACACUGCGAGAUCUAUAUGUUACAUUAGGGAGCUUUAAAAUGAACCCGAGCGUACCUAAUGGCUUACCGGACACGGCGAGCAAUCAUAGAUCAAGCAGCUUCUAUGAUAGUUCCUUGUUUUCUGCUACAGUCAGAUGGAAUAGGUUAUUAGACGUCUGGUGGGUACCAUUGCUAUCUUCCGAACACGAAAUGUCAACACGGUUUUCCCUAUCGCUCCAGCUAUUGCGCAAUUGGUGGAAAAAAUUGCGAGUGUUUGAAAGAGCCUUGGACAAAGACCGUGGAGAUGGAAACUGACCGAUCGAUAGUGACUGGCUGCCGGUGAUAUGAAGCUAGAGAACGAGCUAGCUGGCUGCAGAUCAAAGAUUUGAAUUUUCUGGGGGAGCUUGUGUGGUUCACCAUUUUUGCAGACAUUAUCCGACCACUCAAUGUCUCUGUCCACAAUUGUGGAGGAAAGGAGAGCAAGCUUUGGUUAAAUGAAGAGACUUAAAUGAGGGUUGAGAGUCCAUUUGAUGCAGCUCGCAUUGAGGACCAGCUCUCUCAACCAAGAAGAUCGGCCCAUAUUAAAGCUCAAUGAAACCGAGAAGCCGUAUCGACCAUCCUUGGAGAGUUGCAGUCAUCGAUCUAGAAAAAUCGGUGCCCCCUCAACUUCCUUGGAGGCCUAGGUGAGCAACUAACGGAGUUUCUAUCUUUUCCUUUUCUGUUCGUUAUUUCCAACCCAAUUUCGACCAUCCUACAGUGCUUAUUUCAGAAAACGCAAAACAUAUAAAGUGUAGAUCCAGAAGUCUUUGUUCAUUUGGCUUUGGAAUCAGGUUGAUCCGAUCUAUAUCAACAAAGAUACGACUGUUCUAUUGAGCCUGCUCAGUGUUGAAAUUUCUGUUCGCCCUGUUUUCCCGUGUGCAAGUCACUCUCCCGAUCCUAUUGUUUGAGAAAGCCUACCCUUGGCUUGCAUCAUUAUUGCUCAAAAGCCAUUGAUUAUGAUGAUGAAAAAACUUCGAACACUACCUAUCGAAUUAUCUUAUUCGUCAACCAUGUGUGCCAAAUCUUUCAUACAAGUUGUAUUUGAGAACUACUUUCAUGUUAUCGAAGCACAAGAGCCAUGGUCAAGUUCAAUCAAACUCUUGUAGACCCUCAUUUCACAGCUUGUCCAGCCCAUCGAGAACAUUACAGGCCUAUUUGGUUCUUGAGAUAGUUUCAUUCGAUGAAACUGUGUCGUAGGUAGUAUUUUGAAAGCUCACAUGGAUGCAGAAUCUUGUGUGAUACGGCAAGAUAAAAUCAUUUUGCCAAAUCUUGGUCUUAAGAAUCCAAGAUCAAAAAUGUUAUGCAAUUGACAUAGCAUGUCCUUAGUGACUAACACUAAACUCCUGAUGGCCCAAGUAUUGAUGGGGCAAUUGCUGCAUACCCAAAUGCAUUAGACCCCAUGCAUGCAAUAUGUCGGAUAAUUUGAGUCUCACUAGGAAUUCGUAAGAUCCAAGAAAUCUUGUUUACUGGAUCUAUAUUUUCUGGCUGCGGCCAAUAAUUUUCUGUACCAGUGGCCCCCGUAUGCCCUUUUGAGUUUGCUCCCGCACUAUCAUGGUUGAGAUUUCGUGGUUUAAGCUUCACAAUGAACCUCAAAAGUUACUGUCCUUCCUUGUUCAAAGGUGCGUGAUGAAUCGAAUUUAUCGCGCUUGUGAUGGGAAACGGUCAGACACUUGAAGAGUCCCAAACAAUCCAUUCCUCACGAAACAAAAUUGUAAUGAAAAAGAUCUUUGGGUGAAAACAAUUGAAAACGUCCCAUUUAUUAUUUUCACUCUUUCCACGAGGACCCGGCCGAAAUCAGAACAUGGUUUUGACAAAAAUGAAACUAUAGUUCUCGGUUAGAAAACAUGUUUUUUUUUUCUUUUCUAAUCAAACACAAUAAUUACGAAUAUACACAAGUAAAAACUAAAAUUAUUCUCAUUUUCAUAGGCAUAUUUUGAGAAAUCACGUGCGGUCUAUAUAGAAAAUUAAAGCAGUGACUGAGGUUGAAUCUGCCUUGAUCUUAGCUAUUAGGCCUUAAUGGAACUUAUUACAAAAAACCCAUUGUCCGCUUGAACCAAAGGUUAUAGAUGCUAUAACAAAACUUCGUAAGAAAAUAACUAGAGAAAUCUAUGAAGAUCGAAUUAGGUCUCAAGAUAAAAAUCGGUCUACCAACCACAAGAAAAGUGGAAAUGAAAGCAAUGUAGUUUCGAGUGAAUGGAUACUCCAAGAUAGAACAAGAAAAGUUGAAUCCGAUUAAUUCAACUUCUAUGACUUUGGAAUAAUUAGAAAAUUACAAAAAACGAAAUUAUUCAUUUUGAGCAACAAAGUUCGAUUUAAUCAAAUUUGACAACAGGUUUUCUAACAAGUCUUGCAAGGAGCUUUUGGAACUCUUAAUAGUUGGUUGAAUAACGAGUUACAUUACUUGCCCUGCCCUCGACUGUCUGGCGGGAUCUGGGUGCACGCACCAUAGCCCCACCAUCAUCAGGCACUUCAUCUCCUCCUAUGGGAACUCCGAGUGCAACACCUCGUCAACCGCGCGCCGAGGACGUUGCUAGCAAGGUAGAGUUGCUAGACCCACUCGUGUAGUGAGACCUGGAUCUCUGUUCUCAUAGCUCCUCCGGCCAUGACACCAAAGCUAAACAUGUCGGACUCCGGGGUGGCCUUCCCUCCAAUAAAGUAUUUUGGCGCUAGAUACCCGCAAGUCCCAACCACGUCUGCUGUCUGAGUCCUGAAUCGGGGGUCGACAAGCUUGGCCACUCCAAAGUCGGCAAGCUUGGUGCUGAAGUUGGAGUCGAGUAGUACAUGGGCUGCCUUUAUGUCCUGGUGGAGCACAUAUUGCUCGAGAUCAUCCUCAUAGCUCCUCUGGCCAUCAUGCCGAAGCUGAACAUGUUGGACUCCGUGGUGGCCUUUGUGGGAUGCAAAACGUGCAAUCCCAAGAUCUUCAUAACCAAAACAAGAGCACAAAUGAUUGAGUAAAAAGAUUAACGCACCUAUUUUGAAAUCUAUCGUUCUUGAUGAGGAAGUAGAAAAAUGAUGAUCCACUCGCUAGUCAUUCUCCUCUAUUGUCCUUUGUAUUACUGACUUAAUGAGCUGGUCCCCUCACCCUUUAGCGCUAGGUAAACGCUCCUUAUGUGAGGAUCUUUGUAAGAAUUAGGGUUAGAUGAGAGAUUUGAGCACUAUUUAUAGAAUUUUCAACUAGGUCCUCUCAUUAUAAGCUAGGCUCAACUCGGCCCACAUUAGCCAGUCCCAUAUUAGACUAAUAAAGAAACAUUUUAUUUCACUUUAGACCAACCAACCCCGUAAAAUGGUAAAUUACAAUAUCAAUUUAUGUAGCCUACAUCUUGAAAACUCUUACAUUCUCUCACUUGGGCUAUAUUAAUUGAAAUUGUACUGUAUGUGCGCAUAUUAGUUUAGAAAUAAUUAUUAAUAAUCAAUUCCAUCCCAUAAAGUUUUUUUUUUUUUUUUGGUGACCCAGGGAACCCCUGCACAGCCGACAGCUGUGAAGUAAACAUUGGGAAGGCACGUAGGAAACCACCACCAACGCACCCCGGGUAAGUCGCCAAAUGAUCCGUCAGCCUCCUUGCAACUUGCGUUGCAGGGGCUUUGAACUCUAGACCUCCUACGUGGAAGUCUAGAGCCUACCCAACGGAGCCACCGCGACGGGUGGUUCCAUCCCAUAAAGUUUCAAACACCAAAUCAUGACAGUAAUUGCAUGUAUACACAUAGAGCCUUCCAUGAUCAUGAGUGCUUUUAACUUUAUUGAUAUGGAUUCAAUAUGGUAGUAUAGCAAAUGGAUAAUACCUCUCACAGAGAAAUCCCAUUUGUCAAUCAAUGUUCUCUUACAUUAAGUGUCACAAAAAACUUGUGCCACUAGAUAAUGUCUUUAUGGUUCCAAUGAACUCACACAUGCCUUAUUUUUAUGGUUAACAUUUCUUUAUAUAUAACAAGACAUAUGCAUAAGGCUAAUAACCGGAUGCCCCUAGCUUUCACUCAAGGUUUAUACAAUACAUUGAGACUUUUAUUAAUAUGUAUUUAACAUAAUAACAACACAUUAAAAAAUAUUACUAAAUGUAACAAACACAAAUGUAAACUUUAUUGCAGUAAAACCGAAAGAGCUCCCACUAAACAACAAUAUCUCAUGAUGCUUUUAAGCUCAUGUUAAUGACAUGUUGCUCAAACACACAAUGGCAUAGGCAUUUAGUUAGUGGAUCUGCAACCAUAUUAUCCGUGGAAAUAAGUUAUAUUAUAACGUCACAUUUUUUUACGUUUCUUUAUAGUAAAAAAUUUGACUACCAUAUAUUUAGACUCUUUGAGAUGUCUAUCGUUAAUAAAAAUACUAUAAAUUUAUUGUCUCAAUACAACUGUAUGAGUGAAUCCAUAAAAUUAAAAAUGAUCAACUCCUUAAUGAGGUUUUGGAGCUUAAUAGCCUAAGUAGCAGCCUAAAAGAAUAUUACAAACUCUGCUUAUAUAGUAGGAGAUGACAUAGUGUUUUAUUUACUGCAUUUCCCGCUAACAUAAAUAUGUAUUAUGUUAUUGGUCUUGUAUCAUCCUAAUAGCUAGCAAAGUUUUUUACAUCUAAAUAUCCUGCUAGCUACAAGACUUGAACAUCUAUGUAAAUCAUCAUACAUUAUACUUUUAAGUACACUGACACAUGGUAUACCCUUUAACUAGAUUUUCUCAAUAUCUUAAUAAAGACAAUGUAAUAGAUUCAGUUCAUUGCCCUUAAUGAUAAGAGCAAUUUCUAGCUUACAAUGAUGUAUAUUGAAUAUUUCCAAAAUACGAUCAACAAAUGUCAUCUAAGAUAAAUCCAAUAUAUAUGGCGAGGACAAUCUUUACGGACCUUAGUGCAAAGGACAAAAGAUGUAUCGAGAUCACUACUUGUAAGCAAAAUAUCAUGUAUAUAAAAUAUGAGAAAAAUAAAUUUUCUCCCAUUGAUCUUGCAGUAUAUAUAUUAAAUUACUUUGUUCCAAAUUAAACGAAAUAACAUCACUGAAACUUUAAUAAUAUUGUCUGAAAACUUAAAAUUAUGAAUAAUAAUUUUCAGUUUACACACAAGUUUACUUGAAUCAUUUGCUACAAAAUCCUCCGGUUACACUAUAUAGAUUUUGUUAUCGUGUCUAUUUAAAAAGAUAGUAUCUAUUUGGCGUAACUCCAUAUAAAAAAAGAGCUAUUAAUGUCAUGUUCACUUUAAAAGAAUUUUUAAAAAUACUAGAAAAAAAUAACUGUUAAUGUCAUGUUUAUUCUGAAAGAAAGGUUCUUGCUCACAGAAUUGUAGGUCACUACAAUAUCGAUCGCUUUCCCGCCGUGCAAUCGGGGAUCCUAGUGGUCAUAACAAGCGAAGAGAGCUGGUUCUUAUUGAUUCCUAUGUGAUUCAAUGGGGGAUCGAACUCUGGGUUCAUGUAAGCGUCAAACUCGACCAUGACGAUCUGGUUUCGAGGCCCGUCAUUAGCUGUGCUACCAUUGAACAAUCCGAGGAAUUGUCUGGCCAAGUUGGGCGGGAUUGAGAUCCCAACAAGAGCGAGGAAGAAGGCCAUGCCAUCGCUGUACUGAUUAGAGCCAUCAAUCUCGAUGGUGAACAAGAAGCGGGUCGAGAAGUUUGCUUGGAGCCCCGUGACAGGGUCCCAUAUGCGGACAGGCUUGGCGUACUGAAUCCACCCAACCUGGAAGGGCUGCGAAGGAUGGAGGGGGGGUGAUAUUGACAUAUCCAUACGUGGCCUUCACAACUCCCUCGUACAAUAUGUCCCUCCUAUCCGUGUCGAAGCUGCUUAUGUUAAAGUAGAGAGGAGCGACAGAGGGGAACAAAGGACAACAUACAAGGCAGGACUGUUGGAGAUACAAUUGAAGAUUGUGAUCGUGGAUCGAUCCUAAUUGUGGACUGAUUGAUUUAGUGAAUAUGUGAUAGUUUUAGUAAAUAGGAAAUUUAAAAUUCUUUGUCUAUUAUUUCCUUUUCUUCUCUUUCAUUCUUGCACUAUAAAUAUAUUAAUAUACUUGUAUACAAAUCAAUGAAUAUACAGAGAAUUUCCUCCCUUUUUCUUGCAUUUCCUGUCAAGGACAAGAACAAUUGAGCGCGAAUGCAGGCGCGCAACGACAGAGAAUGGGGAGUCAUGGGCGGCAUUCUUAACCCCGGCUUUGGUCAGAAUCGGAUCUGUUACAUUAGGGUGGUCGGAAUCGGAUCUGUUACAUUAGGGUGCUUUAUAACGAACCCAAGGGUACCCAAUGGCAGACCAAACAGAGCAAGCAAUCGUUGAUCAAGCAGCUUCUUCGAAGGUUCCUUGUUUUCUGCUAAAGUCGCUGGAAUGCAUUAGUCCCAAGGAGGGACGGUCUUGUAUAGUGGGUACAACUGCUAUCUUCCAAACAAGAAAUGCCAACAUGGUGUGGCUAUAAUAGAUUGUUCCUGUCAUUUCCCAACCGGGGGAAAAGCUGCGGGUUUUCUAGAUUGACUUGCUUUCGAGGAUAUGAAGAGAGCCGAGAGAGCUGACUAGCGAUGAAACUUUUGCAUUCACCGUGAGGAAGCUUGUAUGGUUCACCUCUUUUACAGACAUCGUCAGACCACUCGAUGUCUCUUGUCCAAAUUUGUACAGGAAAGGAGUCCGAGCUUUGGUUAGAUGAAUAGCAAUUUGCAGAGACUUGAAAUCUGGAAGGAGGACGCACCAUAUAAAGUUGGGUCUGUCAAAAAGCUUGUCGAGCAAUGUCGUCCUCUUGAGCAUUUUGGUUUUAAAUUUCGACAAAGCUCAUCUUGCAACAUGCCAAUUCGCUUUAGGAAUAAUCCACUCUAAUCAUCAGUUUUUUUUCUCUAUUGGCAUCCAAUCUAAUUACCUUAUUCUUCAAAUAUGUGCAUGAAAUCUUUCCUCCAAUGCUGUAGUUUGAGAAUGCCUUUAAUUCAAUGGGAGCACACUAGACAUGAUCAAGUUCGAUCAACUUACUCUUUUUGAUCAUCAUUUCCCAGCUUGCCCAGCCCAUCAUCGAGAACAUUACAGGCCUUUUUGGAUCUUGAGAUUUUUAAGUUUCGUUCAAUGGAAAUGUGUGGUUGGUAUUACUUUGAAAAUUAACAUUGAUGCGGAAUUUUUGUGAUAGGGCAAGAUGAAGUGCACUUCGCAAAAUUUUUAUUUGAAGAAUGCAAUAUUGAUGGGACAAUUGUUGCUUAUAGGACAGAUUAGACUUAGUGCAUGUGAUCGUUGGAUUACGUGGGUCUCACUUGGAGUUUGUAUGAUCAAAUGAAUCUCAUUGUGCUGACGUAUAAGCUGCAGCCGAUAAUUUUCUAUACUGAUGGCCCUGGAAGCCCUUUUAAGUUCGGUCCUUCACUAAUUAUGUUGCGACUUUCAUUGUUGACCUCAAAAGCUAUUGAAGUGAUAUAUAUCUUUUUUCUUGUCCAAAGGUUCCAGAUGAAAAGAAUCUGUCACAUGUCACGGUUGUUAUUGUUGGAGAAAUCUUUCCAGAAUGGUUGUUAUUGUUGGAGAAAUCUUUCCAGAAUAUUUUGAAGCUGACAAAACGUUUCUAUCAGUCUAGUCUGAAUAAGUAUAGACCUUCUGUUUAAAGUCUGAAGACUUUCAGAUCACCAGACUCAAGACUCAAGACUAUUUUCAUUGACAGUUUUUCUAAUCCAGUGACGAAGUGCCGAAGUAUUUGGCUGAGGAUUUAGUCCUAUCCUCUGGAGAAGAUCUCUUGGCUGGAUAAAUAUAACGGAUUCUUUUAUUCGUAAUCAAGAUUGUUUGAAGAUCCGAUGGUCGACGAAAUAUUCUUGGAAGGUUCUAUUCUUGGAAACCAAGAUCUUGAUUGUAUGGGCGAACAGGAUUGAUGGGCUAUCGUCAGGUUCCUUUAAUAGCUCGAAUGAUCUUCUUAAUUGAUUCCGUCCAACGGGUAGAUUGGAGGAAUUCUUUUGGUAAGUGCCAACGGGUAUGAUGGCAUAAAGGAGUAUAAAAGGAAGACAUUCUAGUUGCUUUAGUGCAUGAUAGAGAAAUUCCAGAGUCUAAGCACCUUGAUUAUUAGUCGAUACAUUUUGAGCGAAAUUGUAUACACAAAGAGUGUCUAUACUUAGAGAUACCUUGAGCGAGUGUGGUAGAUCAUCUACACCGAGAAAUCAAGAGAGAACAACGCUGUAACAUCUCUUUGUUCAUAGUGGAAUCCAGCCAAUAGGCUGUCAGUGCAGAAGAGUGGACGUAGGCUUGAAAUAAGCCGAACCACUAUAAACCGCGUGUUCAAUUUUCUCUUCUCUCAAUCUUACUUUGAUUAUUGUUUGUCUCAAAUUUAUCAACUGUCUAGUAUUGUGCAAUAAUUGAGAAAAAUCCUUUAUAUACCUAUUCACCCCUCUAGGUACUUAUACUAGCUAUAUCAGUUAUGAAUAUAAUUUAGGGUUGAUGAGUCUUCAACAUUCUAUUUCUGACCAAAAUAAUACUCAAAAGUUUUUAGAGUGAAAACAACUUAAAACAUUGCUUUUAUGAUUUUCGCUCUUUUUUAUGUGGACCCCACCGAAAUCAAAACAUGGUUUUGACAAGAAUGAAACUGCGUUUCUCAGUAAGAAAACGUGAUUUUUUUCUCUCCAACCUAAUAAUUUAAGAAUAUACAAAAGUAAAAGCAAAAAGUUAUACCCAUUUUCAUGGACAUAUUUUGAGAAAUCACAUGCGGUCUAUAUAAAAAAUUAAAACGGUAUCAAAUGUCGCAUUUGCCUUGACCUUAGCUAUCAUCAUGAAGUUACUACGAAAAACCCAUCUUAAAUAAAUCUCGUAGUCAACAAAGGCCUGAACUAAUCUCAUGAAUCAAAUAAGACAAAAAUCAAGACCCAGGCAGAUGGCCUGAAAAAACAAAUCGUUUGUAACUUGGUCAACUGGAGAAUCGAACCUACCACAGCAUAUUCCAAUUCCUUGACCUCUUUCUAAGUCAUCCCCACGGGUUUUACCUUUAAAAGAGUAAAUUUCGUGGAUGAAAACUAGUGUAAUUCAUGUAGCACUGCUCAAAAUAACAAAGUAGUAAAACAACCGGCCUUGGCGAAAUGUCCUUUCCCUACGCGCCCAGAAUAUUUAAUUAGCAAGAAAGCUCUCCCAUAAUUUCUCAUCUUCUCUAUAUUGUAAACUCUGUUGACAUUCUACCGAUUGCGAAUCAAUACAUUACAAUGCAAUUGUUUCCCGUGAAAGAACCGAGCAACAUUGAAGCAAACGUUAUAAAACUGCAAAAUGAUGUUGUGAUGCUCCCAAUACGUCACAGUUAAUGCAUUUGCUAAAGUCUUUUCACUUUUUUAAGCAUGUAGAUUCAAAGGAUGUGACGCCCUUAGCAUGUCACGGCUAAAGCAGUUACUAAAGUUUUUUCACUUUUUAAGCAUGUAGAAGUCUGUACGAUUAAAGAACACCUAUCACAUAUAAAAUUACAAUGUCCUUUCCCUACACAUUGGGAAUAUUUAAUUAGCAAGGAAGCUCUCCCAUAAUUUCUCAUCUUCUUUAUACAUUGUAAACUCCGUUGACAUUCCACCGAUUGUGAAUCAAUACACUACAAUGCAAUUGUUCCCAAGCAACAUCGAAGCAAACAUUAUAAAACUACAAGACAAUGUUGUGAUGCCCCUAGUACGUCACGGCUAACGCAUUUACUAAAGUCUUUUCACCUUUUUAAGCAAGCAGAAGCCUAUACAGUCAAACAACACCCAUGACAUAUAAAAAUUCAAAGGAUGUGAUGCCUCGGCACGUCACAGCUAAUGCAUUUACUAAAGUCUUUUCACUUUUUAAGCAUAUAGAAGUGUGUACAAUUAAAGAACAUCCAGGACAUAUAAAAUUACAGUUUCCUUUCCCUACACGCCCAAAAUAUUUAAUUAGCAAGGAAGCUCUCCCACAAUUUCUCAUCUUCUCUCUAUCUUGUAAACACCAUUGACAUCCCACUGAUUGUGAAUCAAUACAUUACAAUGCAAUUGUUCCCAAGCAACAUCGAAGCAGACAUUAUAAAACUGCAAGACGAUGUUGUGACUCCCCUAGUAUGUCGCGGCCGACGCAUUUACUGAAGUAUUUUCACUUUUUUAAGCAUGCAAAAAAGUAUAUGGUUAAACAAUAUCCGAGACAUAUAAAAAUUCAAAGGAUGUGAUGCUCCCAGCACGUCACGGCUAACUUACUUACUAAAUUUUUUUCACUUUUUAAGCAGGCAGAAACGUGUAUGGUUAAAGAAUACCCAAGACAUAUAAAAUUACAAUGUCCUUUUCCUACAUGCCAGAAUAUUUACUUAGAAAGGAAACUCUCCCACAAUUUCUCCUCUUCUCUCUAUAUUGUAAACUCCGUUGACAUUCUACCGAUUGUGAAUCAAUACAUUACAAAGGCGUCACUUGGGCGUGUCCCAUUACUGGACCGUCCAUUACCCUGAGGCUUGACUCUUGAGCUAAUUUCUUGUACCAUCACUUGCGCGCGUCAUAUUGCUGUACCAUCCAAUCCAAGACGGUAUGACUAGAAUCUAUUGCUGCUGUUAUUUGUCAAAUGGGGGAAAAUUUGCAGGUGUUCUAGAGAGCCGCGUAUGAAGACCGUGGAGAUGGAAACUGACCAAUCGAUCUCCCGAGUUGACUGGCUUUCGAUAACAUAACGGGAGCGAGCGGGCGACCCCGGAUCGGUGUUUUUGCAUUCGCCAGGAGAGCUUCUGCGGUUCACCUCUUUAACAGAAAUGAUCAGACCCGGUCAACGUGUCUGUCUACAAGUGUGUAGGAAAGGAGCGCAUGCUAUUGUUAGAUGAGCUGCGAUUUGCAGGGACGUGAAGAGCGGUUGAGAGUAUAUUGCUUCGAAGCCACUGAUUAUGACGAACACUACGAACCCAAAAAACAAAAUAAGAGCCACAGAUAGUUUUUUAGCUGCAUCAUCAUCAUACCAUGUCACCGUGCCUGUCGUCAAUGCCAUGUCAUCAUGUGUGCCACGCCAUCACCAUGUCAUCGAAAUAUGCCAUGUCAUUGCUUGCAUGUCAUUGAGUGAUUGUAUGUUAGGUUCAUAAAAUUGUACGUCAUGCUGGAAUAGUUCCAUAACAAUUUUACCACUCAUUGGAAUUAAUUACCGCAAGCCAAGUUGGAAUAGACAUACUUAGUGCGUCGUCGUGUUUAGAGUACUUGGAUUACAUACAUUACAUACAUUACAUUUUAGCGUUAGCUUUCACUAGAUAAGAGAAAACCUUAAAAAGGAUUUGAGUGGAAUUGUCUGUCAAUUAGAAAUCAUAUUUAUGUUAAGAAUGUGAUUUUCUAAUAAAUGUUACAGUUGCUUAUGUUACUUCAAGGUAAGUAAAUCUAUUCCUUACCCUUGCAAUCUGUUCAUCACUUUGAGUAUAGGGUGUUUUAUUAACGGUUGUGCACACGCAUGAUUACCUCACAUCUUAGUGAAAAUGUUUAAAUUUAAUCCAAUGCCCUUGCCAAAUAUUUUUUGAACAAAAGAGGAAGGUACCAAAAGGGUAUUGGAGUAAUCAAGCAUAAUCAAUUCCUUGUUGCCCUCGCGAUCUUGAGUCAGGCUUUCGGCAUCCGCUUAUACUCCAAAUCGACCUAAAUGAAAGUCCUGCUCACUGUGGUGAAUUCGUAGUGUCCAGUGUACUCUUGCAUGCAGCUUUCCGUCUCAUUGAAGUGAGAACCUCCAACUUUUUCAUCUGUAUUCUCUCCGACGUGAUGAACGCGCUUGCUUCUUUAUAUCAGAAAUUUGAAGAGAGAUAAAGGUAAUUUAACGGAAAAUUUUAUUUUCAUAGUGUUCUGUUUAUGCCGAUGUAAGCAAUGUAUGUUAAGCGAUACCAAGUCCCCCGUGAUGCUCUCAAUUCCAAACAACAAAUUUGGGCAAGGCAAACGAGAUGGUAACCGAACUACAGUUGAUGCAGCAGAAUGUGCAGAUUUUAGUCAGCAUGUGUUGCCGUAUGACUUUAGGAGACAGGAUUUGUCUAGCUUCCUAAACACAGAUUCUUGAAUAGGAGGAGCAGAUGGAGAUUCCAGUAUUCCUAAUUGCGAAGCCGAUGGCCGGUGUGAAACUGGACUGUUGAACGCGUCGUGCGGCAGCUCGGGGACUGAGUCCUCCAGCUGGAGGAACCUGAUCACUUGCCCCGCCUUUGGCCUUCUCACGGGGUCGGGGUGCACGCACCACAACCCCACCCUCAUCAGGCACUCCAUUUCCUCCCUCCGGAACCCUGAGCCCAAGGCCUCAUCGGCCGCGCCGAGGAUGUUGCUGGCGAGGUAGAGUUCCCAGACCCACUUGUGCAACGCGACCCAGACCUCUCCGUCCUCAUAGCUCCUCCGGCCGCACGCAAUCUCCAGGGCCACCACGCCGAAGCUGAACAUGUCGGACUCCUUCGUGGCCUUCCCACUAAUGAAGUACUCUGGCGCCAGGUACCCGCAAGUCCCAACCACGUCUGUUGUCUGAGACCUGAACCUGGGGUCAAUGAGCUUGGCCACUCCGAAGUCGCCGAGCCUGGUUGUGAAGCUGGUGUCGAGCAGCACGUUGGCUGCCUUUAUGUCCCGGUGGAGAACCCAUUUCU
This 31656-nucleotide long non-coding RNA is filed under the name Eucalyptus grandis. Its description in RNAcentral is "long non-coding RNA (EGRA_LNC004499)". Lineage: Eukaryota; Viridiplantae; Streptophyta; Magnoliopsida; Myrtales; Myrtaceae. The record is from RNAcentral.